RNAcentral lists this ribosomal RNA (253 nucleotides) under uncultured bacterium. RNAcentral describes it as "partial 16S ribosomal RNA". It matches the Rfam family "Bacterial small subunit ribosomal RNA", at positions 524 to 776 of the family's 1533-position model. The record is from RNAcentral.
UACGUAGGAGGCAAGCGUUGUCCGGAAUUACUGGGCGUAAAGCGCGUGUAGGCGGCUCGAUAAGUCUGCUGUGAAAGUUCAGGGCUCAACCCUGAAAUGCCGGUGGAAACUGUCGGGCUAGAGUCCGGAAGAGGCGAGUGGAAUUCCUGGUGUAGCGGUGAAAUGCGCAGAUAUCAGGAGGAACACCAAUGGCGAAGGCAGCUCGCUGGGACGGUACUGACGCUGAGACGCGAAAGCGUGGGGAGCAAACAGG